UACAGAGAGUGCAAGCGUUAAUCGGAAUUACUGGGCGUAAAGCGCAUGUAGGUGGAUACUUUAGUCAAGUGUGAAAGCCCUGGGCUUAACCUGGGAAUUGCGCCUGAUACUGAGUAUCUCGAGUAUGGUAGAGGGGAGUGGAAUUUCCGGUGUAGCGGUGAAAUGCGUAGAUAUCGGAAAGAACACCAGUGGCGAAGGCGGCUCCCUGGACCAAUACUGACACUGAGGUGCGAAAGCGUGGGGAGCAAACAGG
This 253-nucleotide ribosomal RNA is filed under the name uncultured bacterium. RNAcentral describes it as "partial 16S ribosomal RNA". It matches the Rfam family "Bacterial small subunit ribosomal RNA", at positions 524 to 776 of the family's 1533-position model. The record is from RNAcentral.